Choloepus didactylus (southern two-toed sloth) is the source of this 677-nucleotide long non-coding RNA. RefSeq lists it as uncharacterized. NCBI's taxonomy places the organism in Eukaryota, Metazoa, Chordata, Mammalia, Pilosa, Megalonychidae. The record is from RefSeq and is a predicted model, not a curated record. The transcript has 2 exons.
UUCAAAAAAAGCUUCUGCCUUGUCACACCAUACCCUAAAUGCUCGAGCCAUGUUGAGGGGUGAAAUGGUGGAAAGGUGAAUCUGUGAGUGCAAACCCAUAAAGUCGAAUCUGUGCUUGUCAACCCGAAGUCAGAUGUCCCACAGCCUGGCACCGAGAGCCGGGGAGCCUGCCGUUGACCGCCCGGGCUCUGCAGGUGGAUUGCCUGGGUUCAAAUCCUGUCUCUGCUCCUACAACCUUGGGCAAGUUCCAGCUUCCGCACCUGUGAAAUUAGGAUGAGAAUAGUCAUUUCCCUUAUAUGGCGGUUGUGAGAAUUAAGCCAGUGGAAGUUCCCGACACAUAGGCUGUAGCAGUGGCCAGGAAGAAAACCACCCCCUCUGAAGUCUGUUUUUGUUGCUGUUCUUUGGAGCAUUGUUCUAAAAUGGGAAAUUACGUAUUGCUGUGCCAAAGGAAACAAACACCUGCAGUUAAAGGCAUACCUUCCAGGAGGUGGCUUUUCAGAACACGCACCAUUAUAGCCCUGGCCAGUUUGGGAUGCAAUUCGAUGCCUUCCUUCAUUUCCAAAGGGAUUGGGUGUGGGCUUGCUUGUAAUUGGAAUGGGCUUUCCCAACUAUGGGUUUCAGGUGAUUUUUCCUUCACUCGUUCACCCAAUAAACAUUUAUUGAGCAUCUAUUCUGCA